UCUCCUGUAGCUCAGUGGUAGAGCGUCCGACUGGUGUGCAGAAGGUCAUAGGUUCGACCUUUGCUGGAAGAA
This is a non-coding RNA of Desmophyllum pertusum, 72 nucleotides long. Lineage: Eukaryota; Metazoa; Cnidaria; Anthozoa; Scleractinia; Caryophylliidae. The record is from the annotation of a GenBank genome assembly.